This 332-nucleotide ribosomal RNA is filed under the name uncultured bacterium. Its description in RNAcentral is "partial 16S ribosomal RNA". It matches the Rfam family "Bacterial small subunit ribosomal RNA", at positions 338 to 667 of the family's 1533-position model. The record is from RNAcentral.
CCUACGGGCGGCAGCAGUGAGGAAUAUUGGUCAAUGGACGAGAGUCUGAACCAGCCAAGUAGCGUGAAGGAUGACUGCCCGAUGGGUUGUAAACUGCUUUUAUAUGGGAAUAAAACAGGGUAUGCAUACCCUCUUGUAUGUACAAUAUGAAUAAGGAUCGGCUAACUCCGUGCCAGCAGCCGCGGUAAUACGGAGGAUCCGAGCGUUAUCCGGAUUUAUUGGGUUGAAGGGGAGCGUAGGUGGCUUGUUAAGUCAGGUGUGAACGUUUGCGGCUCAACCGUAAAAUUGAAGUUGAAACUGGCAGUCUUGAGUACAGUAGAGGUGGGCGGAAU